This 494-nucleotide long non-coding RNA is filed under the name Helianthus annuus (common sunflower). The record is from RNAcentral. Lineage: Eukaryota; Viridiplantae; Streptophyta; Magnoliopsida; Asterales; Asteraceae.
GGAACAUUGUGUGAUAUGUCUCUUGGAACAAGUUGUCGAAACCAACGAUCAUCCAACAUAUCACAUUCGCUUGUGUACUAUAUAACCUAACCAUCUAUACGCUGUGUGAAAUAGUAAACAAACACAUUUACAAACAUUGUUGUUGUUAUUGACAUCAUAGCUUGCGGUGGUGAUCCUCGUCGUUCUCCUUAGGGUGGAGGGUAUGGAUCAAUCACUCUAGGGUGUUUGAGUUAUUCUCUACCCAAUAAUAGCAUGCCAUAUCAAGUCCUCAUUCCACUCCUCAUUUUGCACUCAAUCAGAGGGGAGGAUGUGGAGCAAUAAAAGCAACAAGAUCUUAAAUAUGAACUUAUACGUGAAUAUGUAUGUUAUAAGUUGAUGUUGUGACUUGUGUAUUGAAGUGAUGCAUUGCAUUGUAAAAGGGCAUGUAUGUUUAUGUAACAUUUACUUAUGUAUUAACUGGAAUAAAAUUGAUACGCGAGCAAAAUCAGUUACAU